AAAACCUUCAAGAUUCACACAUUUUAUUUGCGUAGUUUUUUUAUUUGCGUUAUUUUGAGUUGAACCUGUAUAAAUGGUGAGUUCCUUUAUUUUUUAUUUAAACAUAUUUUCACAGCGUUUGCGCUAGGAGCAAUUGCUCAUCAAGAGAGCUGAGCCGCGAAAUGCUGAGUUUCGUUCGGAUGCAAGGAAAUGUAAUGGGUUUUUCGAAUUUUU
Molecule: non-coding RNA, 213 nt
Organism: Paramuricea clavata
Lineage: Eukaryota; Metazoa; Cnidaria; Anthozoa; Malacalcyonacea; Plexauridae
Source: the annotation of a GenBank genome assembly